UUUUUUUUUGAAUAUCAGGAGGUUCUGGGCCGAAGCCCGUAAUUCCUUUAGGCCCGAAACCACAUCAUGUAAUAUUAGUUUCGUUCCAAGUGUCACUCGAACUUGCGAUCUCUCAGCUUCGCCUAGGGUCUUUUUGGAUAUGCUUAAUUCAAAAUAACUACCACAUCUCUUGAUUGUUCAUCUUCCUUUCAAUUUAACUUGGCGA
Molecule: small RNA, 205 nt
Filed under: Arabidopsis thaliana (thale cress)
Lineage: Eukaryota; Viridiplantae; Streptophyta; Magnoliopsida; Brassicales; Brassicaceae
Description: ATSL189170
Source: RNAcentral